Varroa destructor (honeybee mite) is the source of this 1122-nucleotide long non-coding RNA. RefSeq lists it as uncharacterized. The record is from RefSeq and is a predicted model, not a curated record. Lineage: Eukaryota; Metazoa; Arthropoda; Arachnida; Mesostigmata; Varroidae.
UCUUGGGCUCCUUUCGGUGCUAUGUCCAGGUUCACUGAUACUGGACAUUUCAUCUAAACACCCACACCCACAGCAGGCGAACAACCAGAGCUACGAGUAUAUGGCCGGGGCCAAUGACUUCGUGGAUAAAUACGUAUAAGGCUUACCAUUAUUACUGCAAUGUUGAUCAGAAUAAUUGUAUCGUUUUUCUCUAGGCGCCAUCUGAACGGCCUUGUCGGGCUACUGCUCGCUGCAGCGCUCAUUAGAAGGAUCGAGACUGUGAAGUGAAUGAGCUCUCAGCAAGUGGUAGUAAACAGCGCGAGCUCCUACGCGUCGUCCAUAAUCGCAUUACGGAAAGUCAAUUUUGCCGAUCCCAGAGAGCUGCAGUUGUUUUUAACGAACGCAAAGGCUGAAUAGUGAUAGUUACAAUCAUACGUCCAUGCUUUGAUAUGUAGGUGAUCGCCUUACUUAUAUUAUCUAGCUUUGUCCUAGUUGUGAGUUUGUUGGCGAUCACAUGGUGAGAAAAAAUCCCUCAAGAAUUCGAAAUUAUGCUUGUGCAACAGAAUUACCUGACGAGUGUUCGCCAAUCUUCAAGGACAAGAUUUCUAACACGUUGGUUAGAAUGAAAGCAUUAAACUCUUGCACGGUUCUUCUCAAGUUUCUCUUCUUGUCCAAGUUAAGUUCUCAAGAAAACGGCAAGUACAUCUCUACUUCGUUAUUUGGUCGUUUCCACAAGCUUCGCUAACUUCUAAGCCAAUCCUGGAGACUUGCAAAGCCUCACAACGUUCAGCUAUGGAGCUCGUUUGGAAGAUUCAUAGGCGUGCACAUGGUGAACGACCAUGGCCUACAUGAAUUAAUGGCUCCGGAAGAAUAAACGAAUAAUCCUAUUGUGUCGUGAGCGUUGUCGUACGAAUUUCGGAUGCGAACGUUUUUACGUCGACGCAAUUUGCAUUAAGAAGGACAGCGACGUUAAACACAAAAACAGGAAUAGCGCCAGUGUUCCUACGACGCACUUACAGCUAAUUUUAAAGCAAAAUUUAUAUUUAAACAUUUUCAGUGUUCGGUACUACGUACGGUACUGCAUCUAGGUCACCUAAAAUGCGCCUAACUUAAAUAAGUAAAUAGACCUGGACACCGCACCAU